RNAcentral lists this ribosomal RNA (467 nucleotides) under uncultured bacterium. Its description in RNAcentral is "partial 16S ribosomal RNA". It matches the Rfam family "Bacterial small subunit ribosomal RNA", at positions 28 to 507 of the family's 1533-position model. The record is from RNAcentral.
GAUGAACGCUGGCGGCGUGCUUAACACAUGCAAGUCGAACGGAAAGGCCCAAGCUUGCUUGGGUACUCGAGUGGCGAACGGGUGAGUAACACGUGGGUGAUCUGCCCUGCACUUCGGGAUAAGCCUGGGAAACUGGGUCUAAUACUGGAUAGGACCACUUCUUGGAUGUUGUGGUGGAAAGUUUUUUCGGUGUGGGAUGAGCUCGCGGCCUAUCAGCUUGUUGGUGGGGUAAUGGCCUACCAAGGCGUCGACGGGUAGCCGGCCUGAGAGGGUGUACGGCCACAUUGGGACUGAGAUACGGCCCAGACGCCUACGGGAGGCAGCAGGGGGGAAUAUUGCACAAUGGGCGCAAGCCUGAUGCAGCGACGCCGCGUGGGGGAGGACGGCCUUCGGGUUGUAAACUCCUUUCGCUAGGGACGAAGCGUUUUGUGACGGUACCUGGAGAAGAAGCACCGGCUAACUACGUG